RNAcentral lists this ribosomal RNA (301 nucleotides) under uncultured bacterium. Its description in RNAcentral is "partial 16S ribosomal RNA". It matches the Rfam family "Bacterial small subunit ribosomal RNA", at positions 509 to 807 of the family's 1533-position model. The record is from RNAcentral.
CAGUAGCCGCGGGAAUACAGAGGGUGCGAGCGUUAAUCGGAUUUACUGGGCGUAAAGCGUGCGUAGGCGGCUUCUUAAGUCGGAUGUGAAAUCCCUGAGCUUAACUUAGGAAUUGCAUUCGAUACUGGGAAGCUAGAGUAUGGGAGAGGAUGGUAGAAUUCCAGGUGUAGCGGUGAAAUGCGUAGAGAUCUGGAGGAAUACCGAUGGCGAAGGCAGCCAUCUGGCCUAAUACUGACGCUGAGGUACGAAAGCAUAAGGAGCAAACAGGAUUAGAUACCCCGGUAGUCCCUGUCUCUUAUAC